GACGAACGCUGGCGGCGUGCUUAACACAUGCAAGUCGAACGAAGAGCGAUGGAAGCUUGCUUCUAUCAAUCUUAGUGGCGAACGGGUGUGUAACGCGUAAUCAACCUGCCCUUCAGAGGGGGACAACAGUUGGAAACGACUGCUAAUACCGCAUACGAUCUAACCUCGGCAUCGAGGAUGGAUGAAAGGUGGCCUCUAUUUAUAAGCUAUCACUGAAGGAGGUGAUUGCGUCUGAUUAGCUAGGUGGAGGGGUAACGGCCCAUCAAGGAGGUGAUGAGUAGACGGUCUGAGAGGAUGAACGGCCACACUGGGACUGAGACGAGGCCCAGACUCAUACGGGAGGCAGCAGUGGGGAAUCUUCCGCGAUGGACGAAAGUCUGACGGAGCAACGCCGCGUGAGUGAUGACGGCCUUCGGGUUGUAAAGCUCUGUUAAUCGGGACGAAAGGCCUUCUUGCGAAUAGUUAGAAGGAUUGACGGUACCGGAAUAGAAAGCCACGGCUAACUACGUG
RNAcentral lists this ribosomal RNA (510 nucleotides) under uncultured bacterium. RNAcentral's name for it is "partial 16S ribosomal RNA". It matches the Rfam family "Bacterial small subunit ribosomal RNA", at positions 28 to 507 of the family's 1533-position model. The record is from RNAcentral.